This 74-nucleotide transfer RNA is filed under the name Ixodes scapularis (black-legged tick). It matches the Rfam family "tRNA". From Rfam's summary of the family: Transfer RNA (tRNA) molecules are approximately 80 nucleotides in length. Their secondary structure includes four short double-helical elements and three loops (D, anti-codon, and T loops). Further hydrogen bonds mediate the characteristic L-shaped molecular structure. tRNAs have two regions of fundamental functional importance: the anti-codon, which is responsible for specific mRNA codon recognition, and the 3' end, to which the tRNAs corresponding amino acid is attached (by aminoacyl-tRNA synthetases). tRNAs cope with the degeneracy of the genetic code in two manners: having more than one tRNA (with a specific anti-codon) for a particular amino acid; and 'wobble' base-pairing, i.e. permitting non-standard base-pairing at the 3rd anti-codon position. Lineage: Eukaryota; Metazoa; Arthropoda; Arachnida; Ixodida; Ixodidae. The record is from Rfam by way of RNAcentral.
GUGCUUGUUUUGUAGUGGUUAUCAUAUCCGCCUUAACACGCGGAAGGUCUCAGGUUCGACUCCUGGCAAGCACA